GAUGAACGCUGGCGGCGUGCCUAAUACAUGCAAGUCGAGCGAACAGACGCGGAGCUUGCUCCUCUGACGUUAGCGGCGGACGGGUGAGUAACACGUGGAUCACCUCCCUAUAAGACUGGGAUAACUUCGGGAAACCGGAGCUAAUACCGGAUAAUAUAUUGAACCGCAUGGUUCAAUAGUGAAAGACGGUUUUGCUGUCACUUAUAGAUGGAUCCGCGCCGCAUUAGCGAGUUGGUAAGGUAACGGCUUACCAAGGCAACGAUGCGUAGCCGACCGGAGAGGGUGAUGCGCGACACGGGAACUGAGAGACGGUCCAGAGUCCUACGGGAGGCCGCGGUAGGGAAGGUUCCGCGAUGGGCGAAAGCUUGACGGAGCAACGCCGCGUGAGUGAUGAAGGGCUGCGGGUCGUAUGACUGUGUUAUUAGUGAAGAACAAAUUUGUAAGUAACUAUGCGCGUCUUGACGGUACCGGAUCAGAAAGCCCCGGCUAACUACGUG
RNAcentral lists this ribosomal RNA (497 nucleotides) under uncultured bacterium. RNAcentral's name for it is "partial 16S ribosomal RNA". It matches the Rfam family "Bacterial small subunit ribosomal RNA", at positions 28 to 507 of the family's 1533-position model. The record is from RNAcentral.